AGGAAUGGCCAUACCACCCUGAAUGUGCCCAGUCUUAUCUCAUCUUGGAAGCUAAGCGUGGUUGGGCCUGGUUAGUACUUGAAGGGGAGAAACGGAAGGAAUGCUACUGAGUUCAUUUCAU
Molecule: ribosomal RNA, 121 nt
Filed under: Castor canadensis (American beaver)
Lineage: Eukaryota; Metazoa; Chordata; Mammalia; Rodentia; Castoridae
Source: RNAcentral